UACUAAUAUGGCAGAAAAGUGCAAUGAAUUUAAGCUUCAUUAAUAAAGGAAUCCUUUUUUUAGUA
This 65-nucleotide transfer RNA is filed under the name Teleogryllus emma (emma field cricket). Its description in RNAcentral is "tRNA-Leu". Lineage: Eukaryota; Metazoa; Arthropoda; Insecta; Orthoptera; Gryllidae. The record is from RNAcentral.